GGAGAGAUGGCCGAGUGGUCGAAGGCGCUCGCCUGCUAAGCGAGUACACGGGCUAAACCUGUGUCGCGGGUCCGAAUCCCGCUCUCUCCGCCG
RNAcentral lists this transfer RNA (93 nucleotides) under Deltaproteobacteria bacterium. RNAcentral describes it as "tRNA-Ser". It matches the Rfam family "tRNA". Rfam says of the family: Transfer RNA (tRNA) molecules are approximately 80 nucleotides in length. Their secondary structure includes four short double-helical elements and three loops (D, anti-codon, and T loops). Further hydrogen bonds mediate the characteristic L-shaped molecular structure. tRNAs have two regions of fundamental functional importance: the anti-codon, which is responsible for specific mRNA codon recognition, and the 3' end, to which the tRNAs corresponding amino acid is attached (by aminoacyl-tRNA synthetases). tRNAs cope with the degeneracy of the genetic code in two manners: having more than one tRNA (with a specific anti-codon) for a particular amino acid; and 'wobble' base-pairing, i.e. permitting non-standard base-pairing at the 3rd anti-codon position. Lineage: Bacteria; Pseudomonadati; Myxococcota; Myxococcia. The record is from RNAcentral.